RNAcentral lists this ribosomal RNA (484 nucleotides) under uncultured bacterium. Its description in RNAcentral is "partial 16S ribosomal RNA". It matches the Rfam family "Bacterial small subunit ribosomal RNA", at positions 30 to 507 of the family's 1533-position model. The record is from RNAcentral.
AUUGAACGCUGGCGGCAGGCCUAACACAUGCAAGUCGAGCGGAUGAAGGGAGCUUGCUCCUGGAUUCAGCGGCGGACGGGUGAGUAAUGCCUAGGAAUCUGCCUGGUAGUGGGGGAUAACGUCCGGAAACGGGCGCUAAUACCGCAUACGUCCUGAGGGAGAAAGUGGGGGAUCUUCGGACCUCACGCUAUCAGAUGAGCCUAGGUCGGAUUAGCUAGUUGGUGGGGUAAAGGCCUACCAAGGCGACGAUCCGUAACUGGGCUGAGAGGAUGAUCAGUCACACUGGAACUGAGACACGGUCCAGACUCCUACGGGAGGCAGCAGUGGGGAAUAUUGGACGAUGGGCGAAAGCCUGAUCCAGCCAUGCCGCGUGUGUGAAGAAGGUCUUCGGAUUGUAAAGCACUUUAAGUUGGGAGGAAGGGCAGUAAGUUAAUACCUUGCUGUUUUGACGUUACCAACAGAAUAAGCACCGGCUAACUUCGUG